GAUGAACGCUGGCGGCGUGCCUAAUACAUGCAAGUCGAGCGAACAGACGAGGAGCUUGCUCCUCUGACGUUAGCGGCGGACGGGUGAGUAACACGUGGAUAACCUACCUAUAAGACUGGGAUAACUUCGGGAAACCGGAGCUAAUACCGGAUAAUAUAUUGAACCGCAUGGUUCAAUAGUGAAAGACGGUUUUGCUGUCACUUAUAGAUGGAUCCGCGCCGCAUUAGCUAGUUGGUAAGGUAACGGCUUAUCAAGGCUACGAUGCGUAGCCGACCUGAGAGGGUGAUCGGCGACACUGGAGCUGAGACGCGGUCCAGACUCCUACGGGAGGCAGCAGUAGGGAAUCUUCCGCAAUGGGCGGAAGCCUGACGGAGCAACGCCGCGUGAGUGAUGAAGGUCUUCGGAUCGUAAAACUCUGUUAUUAGGGAAGAACAAAUGUGUAAGUAACUAUGCACGUCUUGACGGUACCUAAUCAGAAAGCCACGGCUAACUACGUG
RNAcentral lists this ribosomal RNA (497 nucleotides) under uncultured bacterium. RNAcentral's name for it is "partial 16S ribosomal RNA". It matches the Rfam family "Bacterial small subunit ribosomal RNA", at positions 28 to 507 of the family's 1533-position model. The record is from RNAcentral.